GUGGGGAAUAUUGGGCAAUGGGGGAAACCCUGACCCAGCGACGCCGCGUGAGGGAAGACGGCCUUCGGGUUGUAAACCUCUUUUGUACGGGAAGAAGGAAGUGACGGUACUGUACGAAUAAGUCCCGGCUAACUACGUGCCAGCAGCCGCGGUAAUACGUAGGGGACGAGCGUUGUCCGGAAUUACUGGGCGUAAAGGGCGCGCAGGCUGUGCUGCAAGUCAGCUGUGAAAUGUCUGGGCUUAACCCGGGCAUGCGGUUGAGACUGCAGUGCUGGAGUGCUGUGGAGGCAAGUGGAAUUCCCAGUGUAGCGGUGAAAUGCGUAGAUAUUGGGAAGAACACCGGUGGCGAAGGCGACUUGCUGGGCAGCAACUGACGCUGAGGCGCGAAAGCCAGGGGAGCAAACGGGAUUAGAUACCCUAGUAGUCC
Molecule: ribosomal RNA, 427 nt
Filed under: uncultured bacterium
Lineage: Bacteria
Description: partial 16S ribosomal RNA
Rfam family: Bacterial small subunit ribosomal RNA
Source: RNAcentral